This 450-nucleotide ribosomal RNA is filed under the name uncultured bacterium. RNAcentral describes it as "partial 16S ribosomal RNA". It matches the Rfam family "Bacterial small subunit ribosomal RNA", at positions 354 to 796 of the family's 1533-position model. The record is from RNAcentral.
GUGGGGAAUAUUGGACAAUGGGCGAAAGCCUGAUCCAGCCAUGCCGCGUGUGUGAAGAAGGUCUUCGGAUUGUAAAGCACUUUAAGUUGGGAGGAAGGGCAGUAAGUUAAUACCUUGCUGUUUUGACGUUACCGACAGAAUAAGCACCGGCUAACUUCGUGCCAGCAGCCGCGGUAAUACGAAGGGUGCAAGCGUUAAUCGGAAUUACUGGGCGUAAAGCGCGCGUAGGUGGGUUUGUAAGUUGGAGGUGAAAUCCCCGGGCUCAAACUGGGAACUGCCUCCAAAACUGCAUGACUAGAGUACUGUAGAGGGUAGUGGAAUUUCCUGUGUAGCGGUGAAAUGCGUAGAUAUAGGAAGGAACACCAGUGGCGAAGGCGACUACCUGGACUGAUACUGACACUGAGGUGCGAAAGCGUGGGGAGCAAACAGGAUUAGAAACCCCUGUAGUCC